CCUACGGGUGGCUGCAGUCGGGGAUAUUGGGCAAUGGAGGAAACCCUGACCCAGCAAUACCGCGUGGAGGAUGAAGGGUUUCGGAUUGUAAACUUCUGUUAUAAAGGAAGAAAAAAAUGACGGUACUUUAUAAGUAAGCCCCGGCAAACUAUGUGCCAGCAGCCGCGGUGAUACAUAGGGGGCAAGCGUUGUCCGGAAUGACUGGGUGUAAAGGGUGUGUAGGUGGCUUAUUAAGUUAGUGGUGAAAGCCCGAAGCUCAACUUCGGAACUGCCUUUAAAACUGGUUGGCUUGAGUGUGGGAGGGGCUAGUGGAACUCCUGGUGUAGCGGUGGAAGGCGUAGAUAUUAGGAAGAACAUCAGAGGCGAAGGCGACUAGCUGGAACACUACUGACACUGAAACACGAAAGCGUGGGGAGCAAACAGGAUUAGAUACCCCUGUAGUC
Molecule: ribosomal RNA, 443 nt
Filed under: uncultured bacterium
Lineage: Bacteria
Description: partial 16S ribosomal RNA
Rfam family: Bacterial small subunit ribosomal RNA
Source: RNAcentral